This 65-nucleotide transfer RNA is filed under the name Elimaea berezovskii. Its description in RNAcentral is "tRNA-Tyr". The record is from RNAcentral. Lineage: Eukaryota; Metazoa; Arthropoda; Insecta; Orthoptera; Tettigoniidae.
GGUAGAAUGACUGAAAUUAAGUGAUAAAUUGUAAAUUUAUUUAUGAGAGCUAAUCUCUUCUGCCA